UUCYGGUUGAUCCYGCCRGAGGCCACUGCUAUGGGGGUCCGACUAAGCCAUGCGAGUCACGGGGUCCCUUCGGGGACACCGGCGGACGGCUCAGUAACACGUCGGUAACCUACCCUCGGGAGGGGGAUAACCCCGGGAAACUGGGGCUAAUCCCCCAUAGGCCUGAGGUACUGGAAGGUCCUCAGGCCGAAAGGGUCUCUGACCGCCCGAGGAUGGGCCGGCGGCCGAUUAGGUAGUUGGUGGGGUAACGGCCCACCAAGCCGAAGAUCGGUACGGGCCAUGAGAGUGGGAGCCCGGAGAUGGACACUGAGACACGGGUCCAGGCCCUACGGGGCGCAGCAGGCGCGAAACCUCCGCAAUGCGGGAAACCGCGACGGGGGGACCCCCAGUGCCGUGGCAUCGCCACGGCUUUUCCGGAGUGUAAAGAGCUCCGGGAAUAAGGGCUGGGCAAGGCCGGUGGCAGCCGCCGCGGUAAUACCGGCGGCCCGAGUGGUGGCCGCUAUUAUUGGGCCUAAAGCGUCCGUAGCCGGGCCUGUAAGUCCCUGGCGAAAUCCCACGGCUCAACCGUGGGGCUUGCUGGGGAUACUGCAGGCCUUGGGACCGGGAGAGGCGGAGGGUACUCCUGGGGUAGGGGUGAAAUCCUAUAAUCCCAGGAGGACCGCCAGUGGCGAAGGCGCUCCGCUGGAACGGGUCCGACGGUGAGGGACGAAGGCCAGGGGAGCGAACCGGAUUAGAUACCCGGGUAGUCCUGGCUGUAAAGGAUGCGGGCUAGGUGUCGGGUGAGCUUCGUGCUCGCCCGGUGCCGAAGGGAAGCCGUUAAGCCCGCCGCCUGGGGAGUACGGCCGCAAGGCUGAAACUUAAAGGAAUUGGCGGGGGAGCACUACAAGGGGUGGAGCGUGCGGUUUAAUUGGANUCAACGCCGGY
This 924-nucleotide ribosomal RNA is filed under the name uncultured archaeon. RNAcentral describes it as "SSU rRNA". It matches the Rfam family "Archaeal small subunit ribosomal RNA", at positions 1 to 922 of the family's 1478-position model. The record is from RNAcentral.